Prunus avium (sweet cherry) is the source of this 673-nucleotide non-coding RNA. NCBI's taxonomy places the organism in Eukaryota, Viridiplantae, Streptophyta, Magnoliopsida, Rosales, Rosaceae. The record is from RefSeq and is a predicted model, not a curated record.
AAAAGACUUGGAAAGGAAGCAAUUGACUGUCCUUGGAAUCACAUAACUCCUUCUCUCUCUGUCUCUCUGUCUCUCUGUUCCUAGUUUCUGCUUCUUAUUCUAAACACAUAAUAUUUUAUAAUAUGCAAACCAGAAAUUUUGUCUGCCAACUUGCAUCACCCCAUUUGCAUGAACAGUGAUCCUGUGAUCUAGUCCCUUGACUUAAAAACAUGAGCAAGCUUUCUUCCCCGCAACCCAGUUUGACUUGGACAGCCAAACAAAACAAAUUGUUCGAAAACGCUCUGGCAACAUAUGAUGAGGAAACCCCUGAUCGUUGGCACAAGAUAGCCAGGAUUGUUGGAGGGACGACUGAAGAGGAAGUGAAGAGGCAGUAUGAGAUCCUUCUAUCAGACAUCAAGCGCAUUGAGUCAGGCAAAGUUCCCCUUCCUAAGUAUAGGAAAGUUGGAGCAAGUAACAUCAGCAAUGAAGAAAAGAGCCUGAAGAUCCUAAAGCUCUAAAGGAAGAUGCCCUCCAGAAGAGCACCAAAUUCCUCUUAAAGUGGAUCUAGAAAUUAACUCAUAACACCCCACUCUUCCCUACCCCUUACCCUUUUUCGUUCAUGUAACUUCCAGAUGCAAUAUACUUUUGUCUUGCACAUGUACCCAGGAAUAAUCAUCCCAUAUGCUAUUGCUUA